RNAcentral lists this ribosomal RNA (468 nucleotides) under uncultured bacterium. RNAcentral's name for it is "partial 16S ribosomal RNA". It matches the Rfam family "Bacterial small subunit ribosomal RNA", at positions 28 to 507 of the family's 1533-position model. The record is from RNAcentral.
GACGAACGCUGGCGGCGUGCUUAACACAUGCAAGUCGAACGGAAAGGCCCUGCUUUUGUGGGGUGCUCGAGUGGCGAACGGGUGAGUAACACGUGAGUAACCUGCCCUUGACUUUGGGAUAACUUCAGGAAACUGGGGCUAAUACCGGAUAGGAGCUCCUGCUGCAUGGUGGGGGUUGGAAAGUUUCGGCGGUUGGGGAUGGACUCGCGGCUUAUCAGCUUGUUGGUGGGGUAGUGGCUUACCAAGGCUUUGACGGGUAGCCGGCCUGAGAGGGUGACCGGCCACAUCGGGACUGAGAUACGGCCCAGACUCCUACGGGAGGCAGCAGUGGGGAAUAUUGCACAAUGGGCGGAAGCCUGAUGCAGCAACGCCGCGUACGGGAUGACGGCCUUCGGGUUGUAAACCGCUUUCGCCUGUGACGAAGCGUGAGUGACGGUAAUGGGUAAAGAAGCACCGGCUAACUACGUG